CAGGCCUAACACAUGCAAGUCGAACGGUGGCAGCAAUGCCAUAGUGGCGCACGGGUGCGUAACGCGUAACCAACCUGCCCGAAUCUGGGGGAUAGCCCGCCGAAAGGCGGAUUAAUACCGCAUAAAACAACAAAACGGCAUCGUUUAAUUGUUAAAGAUUUAUUGGAUUCGGAUGGGGUUGCGUGCCAUUAGCUGGUUGGGGGGGUAACGGCCCACCAAGGCGACGAUGGCUAGGGGAGCUGAGAGGCUGGUCCCCCACACGGGCACUGAGAUACGGGCCCGACUCCUACGGGAGGCAGCAGUAGGGAAUAUUGGGCAAUGGCCGAGAGGCUGACCCAGCCAUGCCGCGUGCAGGACGAAGGCUUUCUGAGUCGUAAACUGCUUUUGCCAGGGAAGAAAAAAGGGGAUGCGUCCUCUACUGACGGUACCUGGUGAAUAAGCACCGGCUAACUCCGUGCCAGCAGCCGCGGUAAU
Molecule: ribosomal RNA, 474 nt
Filed under: uncultured bacterium
Lineage: Bacteria
Description: bacterial SSU rRNA
Rfam family: Bacterial small subunit ribosomal RNA
Source: RNAcentral